This 900-nucleotide ribosomal RNA is filed under the name uncultured archaeon. Its description in RNAcentral is "bacterial SSU rRNA". It matches the Rfam family "Archaeal small subunit ribosomal RNA", at positions 455 to 1354 of the family's 1478-position model. The record is from RNAcentral.
GUGGCAGCAGCCGCGGUAAAACCAGCACCUCAAGUGGUCAGGAGGAUUAUUGGGCCUAAAGCAUCCGUAGCUUGCUCUGUAAGUUUCCGGUUAAAUCCAUUAGCUCAACUAAUGGGCUGCCGGAAAAACUGCAGAGCUAGGAAGUGGGAGAGGUAGACGGUACUCGGUAGGAAGGGGUAAAAUCCUUUGAUCUAUUGAUGACCACCUGUGGCGAAGGCGGUCUACCAGAACACGUUCGACAGUGAGGGAUGAAAGCUGGGGGAGCAAACCGGAUUAGAUACCCGGGUAGUCCCAGCUGUAAACGAUGCAGACUCGGUGAUGCGCUGGCUUGUGGCCAGUGCAGUGCCGCAGGGAAGCCGUUAAGUUUGCCGCCUGGGAAGUACGUACGCAAGUAUGAAACUUAAAGGAAUUGGCGGGGGAGCACCACAAGGGGUGAAGCCUGCGGUUCAAUUGGAGUCAACGCCAGAAAUCUUACCCGGAGAGACAGCAGAAUGAAGGUCAAGCUGAAGACUUUACCAGACAAGCUGAGAGGUGGUGCAUGGCCGUCGCCAGCUCGUGCCGUGAGAUGUCCUGUUAAGUCAGGUAACGAGCGAGAUCCCUGCCUCUAGUUGCCACCAUUACUCUCAGGAGUAGUGGGGCGAAUUAGCGGGACCGCCGUAGUUAAUACGGAGGAAGGAAGGGGCCACGGCAGGUCAGUAUGCCCCGAAACUCUGGGGCCACACGCGGGCUGCAAUGGUAGUGACAAUGAGUUCCUAAACCGAAAGGUGGAGGUAAUCUUCAAACGCUACCACAGUUAUGAUUGAGGGCUGCAACUCGCCCUCAUGAAUAUGGAAUCCCUAGUAACUGCGUGUCAUUAUCGCGCGGUGAAUACGUCCCUGCUCCUUGCACACACCGCCCGUC